UACGUAGGGUGCGAGCGUUAAUCGGAAUUACUGGGCGUAAAGGGUGCGCAGGCGGUUCUGCAAGGCAGGCGCGAAAUCCCCGGGCUUAACCUGGGAAUGGCGCUUGAAACUACGGGACUGGAGUAUGGCAGAGGGAGGUGGAAUUCCACGUGUAGCGGUGAAAUGCGUAGAGAUGUGGAGGAACACCGAUGGCGAAGGCAGCCUCCUGGGCCAAUACUGACGCUCAUGCACGAAAGCGUGGGAAGCAAACAGG
RNAcentral lists this ribosomal RNA (253 nucleotides) under uncultured bacterium. RNAcentral's name for it is "partial 16S ribosomal RNA". It matches the Rfam family "Bacterial small subunit ribosomal RNA", at positions 524 to 776 of the family's 1533-position model. The record is from RNAcentral.